RNAcentral lists this ribosomal RNA (940 nucleotides) under Rhodonia placenta. RNAcentral's name for it is "LSU rRNA". It matches the Rfam family "Eukaryotic large subunit ribosomal RNA", at positions 38 to 964 of the family's 3401-position model. Lineage: Eukaryota; Fungi; Basidiomycota; Agaricomycetes; Polyporales; Adustoporiaceae. The record is from RNAcentral.
GCAUAUCAAUAGCGGAGGAAAAGAAACUAACAAGGAUUCCCCUAGUAACUGCGAGUGAAGCGGGAAAAGCUCAAAUUUAAAAUCUGGCGGUCUUUGGCCGUCCGAGUUGUAGUCUGGAGAAGUGCUUUCCGCGCUGGACCGUGUACAAGUCUCUUGGAACAGAGCGUCAUAGAGGGUGAGAAUCCCGUCUUUGACACGGACUACCAGUGCUUUGUGAUGCGCUCUCAACGAGUCGAGUUGUUUGGGAAUGCAGCUCAAAAUGGGUGGUAAAUUCCAUCUAAAGCUAAAUAUUGGCGAGAGACCGAUAGCGAACAAGUACCGUGAGGGAAAGAUGAAAAGCACUUUGGAAAGAGAGUUAAACAGUACGUGAAAUUGCUGAAAGGGAAACGAUUGAAGUCAGUCGCGUUGGCCGGAACUCAGCCUUGCUUCCGCUUGGUGUAUUUUCUGGUUGACGGGCCAGCAUCAGUUUUGAUCGUUGGAUAAAGGCUGGGGGAAUGUGGCACCUUCGGGUGUGUUAUAGCCCUCGGUCACAUACAACGGCUGGGACUGAGGAUCGCAGCACGCCUUUAUGGUCGGGGUUCGCCCACGUAUGUGCUUAGGAUGCUGGCAUAAUGGCUUUAAACGACCCGUCUUGAAACACGGACCAAGGAGUCUAACAUGCCCGCGAGUGUUUGGGUGGAAAACCCGAGCGCGUAAUGAAAGUGAAAGUUGAGAUCCCUGUCAUGGGGAGCAUCGACGCCCGGACCUGAACUUCUGUGACGGCUCUGCGGUGGAGCGUGUAUGUUGGGACCCGAAAGAUGGUGAACUAUGCCUGAAUAGGGUGAAGCCAGAGGAAACUCUGGUGGAGGCUCGUAGCGAUUCUGACGUGCAAAUCGAUCGUCAAAUUUGGGUAUAGGGGGCGAAAGACUAAUCGAACCAUCUAGUAGCUGGUUCCUGCCGA